This 660-nucleotide ribosomal RNA is filed under the name Brevibacterium sp. CU44. RNAcentral describes it as "bacterial SSU rRNA". It matches the Rfam family "Bacterial small subunit ribosomal RNA", at positions 378 to 1049 of the family's 1533-position model. Lineage: Bacteria; Bacillati; Actinomycetota; Actinomycetes; Micrococcales; Brevibacteriaceae. The record is from RNAcentral.
GAACCCUGAUGCAGCGACGCAGCGUGCGGGAUGACGGCCUUCGGGUUGUAAACCGCUUUCAGCAGGGAAGAAGCGAAAGUGACGGUACCUGCAGAAGAAGUACCGGCUAACUACGUGCCAGCAGCCGCGGUAAUACGUAGGGUACGAGCGUUGUCCGGAAUUAUUGGGCGUAAAGAGCUCGUAGGUGGUUGGUCACGUCUGCUGUGGAAACGCAACGCUUAACGUUGCGCGUGCAGUGGGUACGGGCUGACUAGAGUGCAGUAGGGGAGUCUGGAAUUCCUGGUGUAGCGGUGAAAUGCGCAGAUAUCAGGAGGAACACCGGUGGCGAAGGCGGGACUCUGGGCUGUAACUGACACUGAGGAGCGAAAGCAUGGGGAGCGAACAGGAUUAGAUACCCUGGUAGUCCAUGCCGUAAACGUUGGGCACUAGGUGUGGGGGACAUUCCACGUUCUCCGCGCCGUAGCUAACGCAUUAAGUGCCCCGCCUGGGGAGUACGGUCGCAAGGCUAAAACUCAAAGGAAUUGACGGGGGCCCGCACAAGCGGCGGAGCAUGCGGAUUAAUUCGAUGCAACGCGAAGAACCUUACCAAGGCUUGACAUACACUGGACCGUUCUGGAAACAGUUCUUCUCUUUGGAGCUGGUGUACAGGUGGUGCAUGGU